GUGGGGAAUAUUGGACAAUGGGCGCAAGCCUGAUCCAGCCAUGCCGCGUGAGUGAUGAAGGCCCUAGGGUUGUAAAGCUCUUUCACCGGUGAAGAUAAUGACGGUAACCGGAGAAGAAGCCCCGGCUAACUUCGUGCCAGCAGCCGCGGUAAUACGAAGGGGGCUAGCGUUGUUCGGAAUUACUGGGCGUAAAGCGCACGUAGGCGGACAUUUAAGUCAGGGGUGAAAUCCCGGGGCUCAACCCCGGAACUGCCUUUGAUACUGGGUGUCUUGAGUAGUGAAGAGGUAAGUGGAAUUCCGAGUGUAGAGGUGAAAUUCGUAGAUAUUCGGAGGAACACCAGUGGCGAAGGCGGCUUACUGGUCCAUUACUGACGCUGAGGUGCGAAAGCGUGGGGAGCAAACAGGAUUAGAAACCCCUGUAGUCC
RNAcentral lists this ribosomal RNA (425 nucleotides) under uncultured bacterium. RNAcentral's name for it is "partial 16S ribosomal RNA". It matches the Rfam family "Bacterial small subunit ribosomal RNA", at positions 354 to 796 of the family's 1533-position model. The record is from RNAcentral.